RNAcentral lists this unclassified non-coding RNA (359 nucleotides) under fungal sp. Its description in RNAcentral is "partial internal transcribed spacer region". The stretch from base 1 to 46 matches the Rfam family "Eukaryotic small subunit ribosomal RNA", at positions 1786 to 1831 of the family's 1831-position model. The record is from RNAcentral. Lineage: Eukaryota; Fungi.
AAGUCGUAACAAGGUUUCCGUAGGUGAACCUGCGGAAGGAUCAUUAACACGUAUCCACGUACCAACCAACUGUGCUUUGUCAUUCUAUCCCCUAUUCAUGUCAACACAUGGAUAGGACAAUACGAGACAAGGAGAGAGAGAGGGAAGUGUGAAAACACACUCUCACUCUUCUCUUUUUGUUUCAUUUCAUUUUCACUUUUUUCACCCCGUGAUACCCCAUUUGUUGUUUGCUGCAUGACAGUGAAGUUGAUUGAUUGAUUGAUUUGUUUCACAUCCUCUCUCUCUUCUCUUUCUUGCAUUGAUAUGAAAUAUUUUAUUUCAACUGCAUACAACUCUUAGCAAUGGAUAUCUUGGUUCUC